CAGCUCUUGACAUCCCGAUGAAAGCAUUAGAGAUAGUGCCCCUCUUCGGAGCAUCGGAGACAGGUGGUGCAUGGUUGUCGUCAGCUCGUGUCGUGAGAUGUUGGGUUAAGUCCCGCAACGAGCGCAACCCUUGAUCUUAGUUGCCAGCACUUCGGGUGGGCACUCUAAGGUGACUGCCGGUGACAAACCGGAGGAAGGUGGGGAUGACGUCAAAUCAUCAUGCCCCUUAUGAGCUGGGCUACACACGUACUACAAUGGCCGGUACAACGGGAAGCGAAGGAGCGAUCUGGAGCCAAUCCUAUCAAAGCCGGUCUCAGUUCGGAUUGCAGGCUGCAACUCGCCUGCAUGAAGUUGGAGUUGCUAGUAAUCGCGAAUCAGAAUGUCGCGGUGAAUGCGUUCCCGGGUCUUGUACACACCGCCCGUCACACCAUGGAAGUUGGGGGCGCCCGAAGUUGGCCAGUUAAUAGGUUACCUAAGGCGAAAUCAAUGACUGGGGUG
This 498-nucleotide ribosomal RNA is filed under the name uncultured bacterium. RNAcentral's name for it is "bacterial SSU rRNA". It matches the Rfam family "Bacterial small subunit ribosomal RNA", at positions 975 to 1482 of the family's 1533-position model. The record is from RNAcentral.